Molecule: ribosomal RNA, 279 nt
Filed under: uncultured bacterium
Lineage: Bacteria
Description: partial 16S ribosomal RNA
Rfam family: Bacterial small subunit ribosomal RNA
Source: RNAcentral
AGAUACCCGGGUAGUCCACGCCGUAAACGAUGAUAACUAGCCGUUGGGGGGAUUUACCCUUUAGUGGCGAAGCUAACGCGUUAAGUUAUCCGCCUGGGGAGUACGGCCGCAAGGUUAAAACUCAAAGGAAUUGACGGGGACCCGCACAAGCGGUGGAGCAUGUGGUUUAAUUCGAUGCAACGCGAAGAACCUUACCUGGUCUUGACAUCCUGCGAACUUUCUAGAAAUAGAUUGGUGCCUUCGGGAACGCAGUGACAGGUGCUGCAUGGCCGCCGUCAG